RNAcentral lists this transfer RNA (558 nucleotides) under Leishmania donovani. RNAcentral's name for it is "gene:tRNA.36.009(tRNA-product:tRNA_glutamine)". Lineage: Eukaryota; Euglenozoa; Kinetoplastea; Trypanosomatida; Trypanosomatidae. The record is from RNAcentral.
CCCCUGCGGGAGUGAUCGCCAUGGUGGGGAGCUGGUUCUCGAUAAAAAAGAACACUCCUACCUGGACUCGAACCAGGGUUAUCGGAUUCAGAGUCCGAGGUGAUAACCGCUACACUAUAGGAGCGCCUGCUUACUCGGCGAGUAGAGCAUGUGACUGUGAAUGAAUGGCAUGACCCAUUGACGAGGAAAUGGCUAUCCGACCAAACCCCACCAUUGACCCACCACAAGCCUACCGAAAGCCUUCAGUCAAAUUAAACUGUUGCCCCCGCCCCCCCCCCAUUCGAGACGUUAAGCCAUGGUCAGUGCCUCUCCGAAUCUUUACACGUGCACAAAACACCAAAAUGUGGUGGCCAUGACUAUAACCCCCGCGUGCCACCCACGGCAUUAAGUAUGCCGUUCUUGGAGAACUGCGCCUUGAGAUGCCAGCAAGUAAAUCAUGUUGCGCAGCUGCACGCAGGCGUCGCUAACAAAACUGCGACUCAGAGCGUAAGUGUGCCCACUGUUUGAAUUCUUUGAGUCACUUCAGCUGCAAAGCCUACAACUGCAGACGCGCACUUC